GGGGAAGGUAGCUUGCUACUGGACCUAGCGGCGGACGGGUGAGUAAUACUUAGGAAUCUGCCUAUUAGUGGGGGGCAACGUUUCGAAAGGGACGCUAAUACCGCAUACGCCCUACGGGGGAAAGCAGGGGAUCUUCGGACCUUGCGCUAAUAGAUGAGCCUAAGCCGGAUUAGCUAGUUGGUGGGGUAAAGGCCUACCAAGGCGACGAUCUGUAGCGGGUCUGAGAGGAUGAUCCGCCACACUGGGACUGAGACACGGCCCAGACUCCUACGGGAGGCAGCAGUGGGGAAUAUUGGACAAUGGGGGGAACCCUGAUCCAGCCAUGCCGCGUGUGUGAAGAAGGCCUUUUGGUUGUAAAGCACUUUAAGCGAGGAGGAGGCUCUUCUGGUUAAUACCUAGAAUGAGUGGACGUUACUCGCAGAAUAAGCACCGGCUAACUCUGUGCCAGCAGCCGCGGUAAUACAGAGGGUGCGAGCGUUAAUCGGAUUUACUGGGCGUAAAGCGUACGUAGGCGGCUUUUUAAGUCGGAUGUGAAAUCCCUGAGCUUAACUUAGGAAUUGCAUUCGAUACUGGGAAGCUAGAGUAUGGGAGAGGAUGGUAGAAUUCCAGGUGUAGCGGUGAAAUGCGUAGAGAUCUGGAGGAAUACCGAUGGCGAAGGCAGCCAUCUGGC
This 670-nucleotide ribosomal RNA is filed under the name Acinetobacter haemolyticus. Its description in RNAcentral is "bacterial SSU rRNA". It matches the Rfam family "Bacterial small subunit ribosomal RNA", at positions 68 to 733 of the family's 1533-position model. Lineage: Bacteria; Pseudomonadati; Pseudomonadota; Gammaproteobacteria; Moraxellales; Moraxellaceae. The record is from RNAcentral.